Molecule: long non-coding RNA, 208 nt
Filed under: Lathyrus oleraceus (garden pea)
Lineage: Eukaryota; Viridiplantae; Streptophyta; Magnoliopsida; Fabales; Fabaceae
Description: Pisum sativum (pea) long non-coding RNA (PSAT_LNC006276)
Source: RNAcentral
AUUUUCAUACAAGUGUCCAUUUCAUUCAUCUAUUACAAUUUACAUCAUUCAUACAAAAACAAUACAAGGAAAAAAGGACAACUUUGGCCAAUAGUUGACUUUGGUAAACGGUUGACUUUUUCGUCAACUUUGACCAAACUCAACUCCCCUAUUUUCUAAGCCAAAUCCUAAAUCCCCAUUUUGAUUCUUCAUUCUCCCAUAUUCUCCU